UGAAUAAAGAGCCCUCACACAUUGAACAUUCCUGAAUCUGCCCAUGCCUUAUCUUCUUCCCUCUCUUACCAACUCGAGAACCGAAAAGAAUCGUUGCCGGAGAACUAGACACUCACGCUCGCGAGCAUGUACGAUAGAACCUACAUUAAAUUUUUGUAUGACUGGUGCGUGAUGUCAACGCGAAGGAAACAACAUAUUUAGAUUCAAGAGGUAAAGCGCGCGCCAGCAUUCAACACACUCCGACAAACACAUGCGUGGCUUAAUAGAUACGCAGAGAGAAGAGUGUACUGUUAAAGUCGUACAGGAAGGAGGAUACACAUAUACGACAACCGCAAAUUAUCCGAGGGGACCGAGACACUGCGCGUGGGAGUGGCGAAAAGAAAACAUCGAGACAAGUAGCGUUAAACAGGUUUCCUUGUCAAGAUCAAGCAACGAUCUCACCUGAAGAGAAGUUUCGGAUUUUGGGGGACUGAUUAUUAAACAUCUAAUAGAAGGACAUUACAAAUGACUGGAAGGGACAUAAUACUGCUAUAUACGUUUUUUUUAACAAUAAUUAUUAUCUUAUAGAUUGUUCUCUAUAAAGUUGUAGCCUACCUUAAUCACCCGUUGGAACGAAAAUACGUCCUCGCGCGUUGGUUACGGUAUCAGGUGCAGCGGCCACCCAGGAACUUCAGUGCUUCUGAAGUUGUCCUGACCGCCCUCCACCACUAGAGAGUGCUGUGUCCUCUCCAGUCAAUGGGAACGACCCUGCUCUCAUUCACAUGAUGAUUGCCACGCCGCCACACUCCCCCCGUAUCCCAGAACCAUCGGCCCUCACGGCCGGCCAAUGCUUCCGCUGCCCGGCCCCGCCCCCCAGUUCCCCUAGCGAGGGCCAUUACCCGCGGCGGCCCACUUCCGUGUCCUUCUCAUCCCUGGCCACAUGCACUUCGGAGCCCUUGCGCCGGCACAGUGUCCAGCCAGCGAUGGCUGGGUGGAGGCAGAAUCGACAGCGCAGUAUGAGUCUGGAGGACUUGGAUCCAGCAGAGAUGGAGACUGUUCUCUUCGGGGCCCUGGGGGGUCCAGUUUCCAGGGAGGGGCGGGAUCU
Long non-coding RNA from Hypomesus transpacificus, 1084 nucleotides. RefSeq lists it as uncharacterized. NCBI's taxonomy places the organism in Eukaryota, Metazoa, Chordata, Actinopteri, Osmeriformes, Osmeridae. The record is from RefSeq and is a predicted model, not a curated record. The transcript has 4 exons.